Strongylocentrotus purpuratus (purple sea urchin) is the source of this 636-nucleotide long non-coding RNA. RefSeq lists it as uncharacterized. The record is from RefSeq and is a predicted model, not a curated record. The transcript is spliced from 2 exons. Lineage: Eukaryota; Metazoa; Echinodermata; Echinoidea; Camarodonta; Strongylocentrotidae.
CUCUCUCUCUCUCUCUCUCUCUCUCUCUCUCUCUAUCUCCCUCUAUGUCCCUCUCUGUCUCACUUUCCUUCUCUCGCUAACUAUAGUUCAAGAUGAAUCGUGAACUCCGGUUCCCAUAUCUGUCUAUUAUUAUGUUUCGAAAGUGGGUAUGCGGUUUUGAACUUUAAACACAAUUUAAUCCAUGAGAAAUGUUCAUAACAUACACUUUUGUUUCGUUUUCAGAUAGAGUUGACUUCGAACCAAUGUCAACGAAUAUGUAGAGUCUUUGUAGUUAUAAUGCGCUCGCAAAGACUUUCGAAAAAUCAGCCUUAGUUAAUUUCAAUAGCUAGCUUAUCUAGCACCUCUUGAAAUGUGCAAACAUGACAAUGAUGUUUGAUGUAAUCUGAACAUGAUUUAUGGGAUGUAUGAUAGGGUAUUGAUAUAGCCUGCGAGUUGGUUACUCGAAAGUCUUUGCGAUUAUGUUUCAUGAAAAACUGCGUAGAAAUAUAUUUAAUAAAGUUUAUUUAUCACUCUGAUCAGCCGAUUUCCUUUUCAGUUUUAGAUGAAGCAUCUAUAUAAGAUCAGUAUAUCCAUGGAUAAGGCUUUGUCUUCAUAGAUUUAAGUGUUAAUGAAAAAUAAAUAAAUGCUCAACUUGUA